RNAcentral lists this unclassified non-coding RNA (8030 nucleotides) under Neodiprion pinetum (white pine sawfly). Its description in RNAcentral is "rho-associated protein kinase 2, transcript variant X2". Lineage: Eukaryota; Metazoa; Arthropoda; Insecta; Hymenoptera; Diprionidae. The record is from RNAcentral.
AGUUUUCUAAAUGGCGCACGCACGGCUCAGCUGUGUGUGGCUGUGUGUUUCACGACUCAUCCGCGAUAUGAAAUAAUGCAUUUUACUGUGUUUUUUAUUCAAUUAUUAACCAAGUGCUCGACCGGGACAAAGUGAUAUUAGAGAGAUGGAUUUGCAACAAAUGUAGCAGCUGGAAUCAAUCGGAGAUUCAGCGCCGCAUAGAGAAGGACGGGAGAAUCUUAGCUUUAAUGAACUCACAGACGUGACCGUGGUUGUGAAAGCUUGGCUGUAGGAUUUAGGAUUAUAAAAUGGAGAAUGUUAGAGACGAAGACAGGCGAAGGCGCCUCAGACAUCUUGAGGAGAGGAUAAAAGAUCCUCGCAGUGUCACCAACAUCGAUUGUCUUUUGGACACCGUACAAGCUCUAACCUCGGAUUGCGAUCAUCCGAGCGUCAGACGGAUGAAAAAUGUUGAGGCUUACAUGAACAGAUAUGACUCAGUUGCUCGAGAUAUAUGUAAAAUGAGGAUGCGAACCGAUGAUUUUACUCUAAUAAAAGUCAUUGGUCGUGGUGCAUUUGGCGAAGUGCAAUUAGUCAGACACAAGUCAACACAGAAGGUCUUUGCCAUGAAGCUGCUCAGUAAAUUUGAAAUGAUCAAGAGAUCGGACUCAGCGUUUUUUUGGGAAGAAAGAGACAUAAUGGCACACGCCAAUUCUCAGUGGAUAGUUCAAUUACAUUUUGCGUUUCAAGAUAACAAAUACCUCUAUAUGGUAAUGGACUACAUGCCUGGUGGAGAUCUUGUCAAUCUUAUGUCAAACUACGAUGUGCCUGAAAAAUGGGCAAAGUUCUACUGCGCCGAAGUUGUUCUUGCCUUAGAUGCUAUACAUUUAAUGGGAUUCGUCCACAGAGAUGUCAAGCCCGACAAUAUGCUAUUGGACAAACAUGGCCAUUUGAAACUGGCAGACUUUGGGACCUGCAUGAGAAUGGAUGCGGAUGGAUUAGUACGGUCUGAUACAGCAGUUGGUACACCAGACUAUAUAUCUCCCGAAGUGCUGCAGUCUCAGGGAGGGGAAGGAGUUUAUGGAAGAGAGUGUGACUGGUGGUCAGUUGGUGUUUUUUUAUAUGAAAUGCUCGUUGGAGAUACGCCAUUCUAUGCGGAUUCACUGGUUGGUACAUAUUCAAAGAUCAUGGAUCAUAGGAAUUCGUUGCAUUUCCCGCAGCAAGAAGCGGAUAUAUCACAUGCAGCGAAGAGUUUGAUAUGCAAUUUCUUGACCGACCGUACUAAAAGAUUGGGUAGAAACGGCGUUAAUGAAAUAAAGUGCCAUGCGUUUUUCAAGAACGAUCAGUGGACAUUUGAAAAUCUAAGGGAAUGUGUACCACCUGUUGUACCUGAGCUUUCGGGCGACGAUGACACCAGCAAUUUUGAUGAUGUUGAUAAAGAAGAUGGACCAGAGGAAAGUUUUCCUGUACCAAAAGCGUUUUCAGGCAAUCAUCUGCCCUUUGUCGGGUUCACUUACUCAGGGGAUUACCAAUUGAUGUCCGGUACCGGUAGGGAGUCCGUUGACGGACUCACAAAUCAUAUAAACAACGGAAUCAGUGACGAUGUAAAGAUAUCCCAGUUAGAAAAUUUACUUGAACGAGAAAAACGGCAAGUAGACACACUCGAAGCGAGACAGAGGGCUUUGACUGCCCAACUAGAGGCUGUGACAAGACGCGAGGUGGAAUUGCAGGAAGAAACAGCAAGAGCGGACAAGGAAUUGACCCUCCUCAGACACAAUUUUAAAGAAACGCAACGCAGAUCGGAGCAUGAGGCAGAAGCCAGACGUAAGGUUGAGGCGUCAUUGAUAGAACUUAAGAAAAAGUUUGAUGAAGAGCAGUCCAAGAGAGCAAGGGAUGCCAGUAACUCUCAUCAAACGUCAGAGAGAAUACUAACCCUUGAAAAACAGCUGAAAGAAAUGCAGGCUAAGCUUGAGAGGGAAACUGAUAGUGCGGGAAGGUUGCGUAAACAAGCUGCCGAAGUUACGGUUGCUAGACAAGCUGCCGAACAGAUGACAAAUGAACUUCAAGUUGCCAGGGCGCAACUGCAGGCGCAGAGAGACUCUCUACAACAAGAAGUUGCUGCUUUACAGGGCCAAUUGUCCAAGGAGCGGAGUUCACGAUCUCAAGCAUCUACCUUGACUGCAGAGCUUGAGACUCGAUUGUCUGCCCUGCAUGUAGAACUGGAGCACAGUCGUCGUCGUGAAGAAAAAGCAACUUUGGAUAACCGGCAAUUAAGCGAAAGAGUUUCUUCACUGGAAAAAGAAGCUGCAGGACUGACUUUGGAGUUGAAAGCAGCCCAGGCAAGGUACAAUCAGGAAGUUGCAGCCCACCAAGAAACGGAAAGAUCAAGAAUGCUAUCCAAGGAAGAAGCAAACAUGGAAGUAGUUAAAGGACGUGCCGAUAGAACGUUUACAGUAAAACUAAAUGAAGAGAAGAGUGGUAGACAGCGAGCAGAACUCCUUGCUCAAGAAAAAGAGCGCCAGACAUCCAUGCUGUCUGUCGACUAUCGUCAAAUUCAACAAAGAUUGCAGAAACUUGAAGGCGAACAUAGGCAAGAAGUGGAGAAGGUCAAAGCACUGCAGGGUCAAGUUGAACAGGAACAGCAAAAGAGAAACGUACUACAAUCAGAAUUCGGGCAACAAUCUUCUGAAGCUGGAAGACUCAGAGCAAGAGAGCAACAAUUGGUUGGCGAAGUAGCUCAUCUCAGGGAAGCUAAAAGGCAAAUAGAGGAAGAAUUGCACCACCUUAAAACUCAACGAAGUGUAGAUUUAUUACAAACUAAAGAAUUGCAAGAACAGUUGGAGGCUGAGGCCUAUUUCUCAACACUUUACAAAACCCAGACGCAGGAGCUCAGGGAGGAACUAGAUGACAAAACGAGACAUCAGCAAGAAUUGGAAGAAGAACGUUGCUCACUGGUUCAUCAAUUACAGCUAUCUCUCGCUCGCGCCGACAGUGAGGCCUUAGCAAGGUCAAUUGCUGAAGAAACAGUGGCAGACUUGGAGAAGGAAAGAACAAUGAAAGAAUUAGAGUACAAAGACAGCAUAGCAAAGCAUCGUCAGGAAUUAAAUGCCAAGGAACAAUCUAUAAAUGUGCUUAAAGAGAACGAAAACGAAAUUAAGAAAACGACGGAGCUAUAUUUGAAAGACAAAGAGGAUUUGAAUAAGCGUUUAAAAGAUUUACAAGAACAACUGAGUAAGGAACAGUCUAAUUCUGAGGAGAUAGAUAGACUCAGUGGUAAACUAAAGACAGAGCAGUUACUUAAACAGCAGGCUGUUAAUAAACUGGCUGAGAUAAUGAAUCGGAAAGAUAUAUCGUCAGGUACUAAAACUCGAAACAAAGUUCCUUCUGCUGAUUUGCGUAAGAAAGAAAAAGACUGCCGUAAGUUACAACAAGAAUUGACGCAGGAGAGAGAAAAAUACGGACAGUUGGCAGCUAAGUGGCAAAAAGAUCUUCAAGACUUACAGGCCCAACUUGUCGAGGAGAGCCAGGUAAGGCUGAGACUGCAGAUGGAGGUUGAUUCAAAGGAUUCUGAAAUAGAAACGCUACUGAUGAAAAUAGCGUCAAUGAAUUCAGAGACAGCGAGUCUUUCUUCAGCAGAAAACGACGGCGAAGAUGCUGUUUUGUCAGAACACGGUGCCUUACGAUUAGAAGGUUGGCUGAGCGUACCUAACAAGCAAAAUAUCAAAAGACACGGGUGGAAGAAGCAAUACGUUGUUGUAUCAUCUAAAAAGAUAAUAUUCUACAACAGCGAAAACGACAAGAUGAAUGCGGAUCCAAUACUAAUUUUAGAUUUAAGCAAAGUCUUCCACGUUCGCUCUGUGACUCAAGGAGACGUUAUACGAGCCGAUGCCAAAGAUAUUCCAAGGAUAUUUCAGUUAUUGUACGCCGGUGAGGGUGAGGCAAGACGUCCGGGUGAUGAAAGUAACGCAUUGCCAGGGGUAGAACUGCCGCAAUUAAUGGAUAAGCCUGGUACCUUGUGGUUAAAGGGUCAUGAAUUCAUUUCUAUAACCUAUCACAUGCCAACUACUUGCGAAGUAUGUACAAAACCGUUAUGGCAUAUGUUUAGACCACCUCCUGCUCAAGAAUGUCGAAGGUGUCGUAUCAAAGUACACAAAGAGCAUUUGGAAAAGAAGGAAGAUGCUAUAGCACCUUGUAAAUUACAUUACGAUCCAAAUAGUGCCAGAGAAUUACUAGUUCUGGCUGGUAGCCCUGAUGACCAAAAGUAUUGGGUAACGAGGCUGUCAAGAAGGAUUCAAAAAUGCGGUUACAAAGCAAACUCCCACGUCGAUGGAACAGGGCAACGAGUUUCUCCAAGGUAGCGUAGGUGGACAGCUCAUCCAGGGACUUAGUAGCUCUUGUGUUGUGGCGUCGCAUGAUUGGGUGUAGAGAGGGAAUCUACAAGAUCAACGCUAAAGCCUUACUUGUCGGUUCCACAGCGAUCUGCCACUCUACCUGCCAACGCUAGUAUGGGCAAAUAAUCUUAAUGCGUUUUCCACAACGAUUUCAUGAGAACGAAAAAUUGAUUUUUUUUUUAAUUGCAAUUGUCUCCAUAUAAAUAUAUCUAGAAUGAGUCUAACCAAAUCUCGAAACUGGAUAUGGCUUGCCUGUUGCAAGGUCCCGCUUCUUAGCCAAUCAGCUCAACAUUAUUCAGAUGGACCAUCUCGAAGGAUAUGCCUUAAAGCUACUGAAUGGUCAUGAUUGACCAGCGUGAAUAGUUUGUGUGAUUAUCCAUGUAUACAUGUGCAAACAGAGUGUCCAUUAUAGUUCUUUUUGGGUCAGUUUACAUGGCUAGAUGUCAGAUUAGUUUAGCGGGUCGAUACUUGAAAUAACCAAGCGAUACCCAUUUUCAAAAAGUUGGACAAACUCAUUCUGUAUAUAUCUAUUUAUAAAUAUUUUUGGUCGCUUUUUGUUUUCUUGUAAAUAUGUCACAUACAGAAUGUGGACGUAUCUUUAAGUUCUGCUCCCCCCCUCUCCCUCGCUCUCCUUCCCUUUCCAUGUAGGAUUAUUGCAUAUGUGAUUUGUUAGAAGUCAAUGUUACAGCAGCUGCUUUACAAGGUUCUAUCGAUAGUUUCUAAUUAAGAAAUAAUAGAAUUGAAAGACAUUUGAUAUUAAUUAAAUACAUUACAAAAUUUCAUUAACAAUAUUCUAGUGCAAAGAUUAUAUUUAUGUGCAGGACGCAUUCAAUUUAUUGAACGAUCGUCUUAUAUCAAUAUGCUCAUUGUCACUUCAGAUGUGAAUUCAGAAUUGAGAUAUUACCAACUACGAAUUACCAAGUGUGAUAACAUUAUUCACAUUUUUUUUUUCAAAUACCUUCAAAACUUAUGUCCCAGUACCAGUUGACUUGCAUCUUUUUCAUGCUUAUUUAAUUUUCACCUUGCAUUUGCUUUGAACUCCAUCCUAUUUUCAUAUUUAACACAUUUUCGGACUUUUGAAUUUUUGAUAAAAAUCUUCCUUUUUUUCCAAUUCCUAUUUCAAAACUUACAAUAUUGCUGCGAAAAACUUAUUCAACUAACAGUGCAAAAGUUAAACGAUUUUAGGGCACAGUCAUACAAGAAAAGUACAGUUGUAAUGUAUAAAAAAUAAAUUCCAACCCUAGAGGGAAACAAUGAUCUUGUAAACAAUCUUAAAAUCCGUGCAUUUCACUGGUUCGAUUAAAUCUUAGUCAUCGAUGCAAAGAAAAGGAAAAAAGUAAAUAAGUCAAGUGUAAGCAAAAGUUAGAAAUUUAGUGAUGGGUAUAGAUUUCAGGAAUAUAAAAUCAAAAAAAAAAACACAUGGAAUUGAAGUCUUAAAACUACAGUCCCUUGGCAUUAGUGAUAAUUGUUAAUAAAGUAGAUAAACUUUUAUAAAAACAAUCAGAAGUGAUUCAAAAUUUUUAAUAUACACUUUGAUCACGACUUAGAAAUCACUACAACAUAGUGGGAAAUACAAAAAAUAACAUAAUAAAUCAGGAGAUAGACAUACAUCAGCCCACACUUUUUUUUUUACAGAAAAAAUGAAUUCGCCAGUACAUUUUGAUAACAUUUCACGAGAGCAUUCUCGAGUAUGGUAAUUUAAUACGUAACAUCAUUGGAAGAUGCAUAUUAUAUAUGCCCAUUAUCAAUAGCGAUAAAAUCGUUGCAUUUUUUAAUACUCGCAAACUCUCGGACCCAAUUGAGAAAAGUGCUACAAAUUAGAAGCAAAUUUUUAUGUAAUGAUAUAAUGCCAAAAUAUUUGAUUUCGAAAAAAAUUGAAAGACUGUAAUUCAUACACUUGUAGAGUCAAAAGUGUGGAAAUUUCUGGUACAAUUAUUGAUUGUUUAAAAAUUGAUGAUUUAUACACCUGUUGUAAGGAAAGUUUUAAAGCAAUUUCGUCAUGAAUUGAUUCUGGUGUUGGGCCGUUAUUAUAAGUAAACCGCUUCAUAUAAAUUUUUUAAAUUGCGCUCAUAUUGUGUAUCACACGAAUCAUGUCACAUGUUAUGCAAAGACUUGAAAAAAACAUAUGUUAUAAUAAUUUGAAAAAUGAAACGAAAGUGACAUUUUUUUAAGAUAUAAUUGCUAUAAUAAAAACUUAUAUUAAUGAUUGAAAGUUAAUUAUUAAUGCGCAAAAAGAUAACUAAUGUACAGUUGAAGAUCGCAGAUUUUUUCACGUAAUAUUAUUGCCAAAGUAGCGUGACCAGGAAAGUUUUGAAAUUAAACAGUUUUGCUGUUACUAAAUCUCUGUAUAUCCAUGAAUAUAUCCGUAUGAAUAGCUAAUCAUUUAAUAAUAAUUUUCUGCCAUUAUAUGCUAAAUGACGAGCUGGGCACCGAUUCAAAAUGUACCAAUAAUAGAUAUUUCAAUUUAAGUUCAUUUGAAUUAUUUAUUCGUAGAUUUUUCUACAGAUAUUGCAAUUCGAUAUUCCCUGUAUAUGUAAAUAUGAUGGAGAAGAAAAAUCGAAACAGACAGAAAAAAACAUGCCUAGGGAUAUUUGUAUAUCAAUUGUUUUGUAGAAAAUUGAUUUAAAAUACAAAAAUAAGUAUUAUUAUUUUUUAUACAUUCUGUAAAUUAAAUAUUUAAUUUCUUACCUAUCGUAAUAACAUUAACAAUUAUUAUUAUUAUACUGAUGAUAAUAAUGUAGUAAAUUUAGGAAGGUCGUUUGCCCAGCUAGCCACGGAGGCCGCCAAAGUUAACGCGAUUAAAUUAACAAUAAAUAUAAACAUAUUAAACCUACGAAAAGAUAAUAAUUAAGGCAGGAAAAAAUUAAAUAAGCAACUGAGUAAAUCUAAAAUAAAAAUGAAUAAGUAAAAGUGCUAGGCAGCACUACAAGUGAGCUUCUUUGUAUAGUAGAUAUACAUCGUAUACAACAUGUACAUGUGUGUAUAGUGUAUACACAUACCUAUGUAUAUGUAUCAGUAUAUGAAAAUCAAUUUGUUGAAUAAGAAUUUAUAUUGUAACAUAGGUAUACAUGUAUAACAAUCCGUUAUUGUAAUAUUCGGGUAUAAAUCGUGUGCAUGACAAAAAUUGAAUAAGUCGAACAUCAGAUCAUGAUUUUAUGCAAGAACAAUUUUUCAGUUGCAAAAUCUAACUUCUAUUUUUCCUAAUAAAACUGAGAGUGUCUAGUAAAAUGAAUAAUUUUGAGACGUUAACUCUUCAUUUUCCAUGUUGUAUAGGUGAAGCAAGAUCAUUCUUAAUCAAUAGAUAUACAUAGUUAAAAAGAAACAUUAUCCUGCAGGAACAGGAGUAUGAUAACGAAGCAACUAAUGAUAAAUGUCUCGGCAAUAUAUAACAACCAAUCUUUACCGGUUUUAACAUUAGUUUCACAUGUUUUAUUGGCCGAUGUAUACAUACCUAUAAGUACAUUAUACAUCAAUUUAUGUACUAUUAUUAUGCUCUUGCAUGAAAUCUUACCAGCGGUGCUCCUUAAUUCCUUGUCAGUCUGCUGAGUAGCUGAUUGUAGAGAAUUAAAAAAAAAAAAAAUUUAGGAGUGACUGAUCGGGAAUUGAAUCCACAAAACUAAAACUACUGCCCCGUGCCUUCCCUCCGAGAUCCAAAAGAGUUAG